UACGGAGGGUGCAAGCGUUAUCCGGAUUUACUGGGUUUAAAGGGUGUGUAGGCGGACUUUUAAGUCAGCGGUGAAAUCUCCGGGCUCAACCCGGAAACUGCCAUUGAUACUAUUGGUCUUGAAUGUUGUUGAGGUGGGCGGAACGGGUCAUGUAGCGGUGAAAUGCAUAGAUAUGACCCGGAACACCGAUUGCGAAGGCAGCCCACUAAGCAACGAUUGACGCUGAGGCACGAAAGCGUGGGGAGCGAACAGG
RNAcentral lists this ribosomal RNA (253 nucleotides) under uncultured bacterium. Its description in RNAcentral is "partial 16S ribosomal RNA". It matches the Rfam family "Bacterial small subunit ribosomal RNA", at positions 524 to 776 of the family's 1533-position model. The record is from RNAcentral.